AUUGAACGCUGGCGGCAUGCUUUACACAUGCAAGUCGAACGGUAACAGGCCUUCGGGUGCUGACGAGUGGCGAACGGGUGAGUAAUGCAUCGGAACGUACCCAGAGGUGGGGGAUAACGCAGCGAAAGCUGUGCUAAUACCGCAUGUGAUCUGAGGAUGAAAGCGGGGGACCGAGCAGCAAUGUUUGGCCUCGCGCCUUUGGAGCGGCCGAUGUCGGAUUAGCUAGUUGGUGGGGUAAAGGCCUACCAAGGCGACGAUCCGUAGCUGGUCUGAGAGGACGACCAGCCACACUGGGACUGAGACACGGCCCAGACUCCGACGGGAGGCAGCAGUGGGGAAUUGUGGACAAUGGGCGCAAGCCUGAUCCAGCAAUGCCGCGUGCGGGAAGAAGGCCUUCGGGUUGUAAACCGCUUUUGGCAGGAACGAAACGGUGUCCGCUAAUACCGGGCGCUAAUGACGGUACCUGCAGAAUAAGCACCGGCUAACUAC
This 489-nucleotide ribosomal RNA is filed under the name uncultured bacterium. Its description in RNAcentral is "partial 16S ribosomal RNA". It matches the Rfam family "Bacterial small subunit ribosomal RNA", at positions 29 to 504 of the family's 1533-position model. The record is from RNAcentral.